GGUUUUCAAAUCAUUCUCACAAGAUUAAUUUCUUUUGCUUCUCACCAUAUUCAUCCUUUUCAUUUCCUUAUAUAAGGGUUAGAUUGCCAAAGGCUUAAGGAAAUGCAGAAAUAUUUACAAUAAUAAUGUAACCUUUAAAGCUUAUCUAAAAAGGAAGAAAGGGAAGUGACUGCCUUGCAAUUCUAUGAAGAACUGGCAAGAAAAGCAUAACUACUGAAAGAUCUGCACAGAUUUAGUUAUUAACAAGAAUGCAAUAUAUGUGGUCAUUCACUAAGGGAUCAGAUGUUAAAACCACCUCUAAUCUCUAGAUAGGUGAAGCAGAAUUCUAAGGAUUGCAUUUUCCUCACUUCAGACCAAAUUGAGGAACGUUCUGCUUAAGACCACGUGGACAGACACUGAUAAAAUGAAAACAGGAACUCCUGUGGUGUGUGUUACUUGCCAUUGAGUUGGCUUCAACUCCCAGGGACCCUGUGAAUGAAUGAUAUCCACAAUGUCUUGUCCUCAACAGCCCUGCUUAGCUCCUGUGCAAAGCAGCUCAUAUCUAUGGCUGCUUUUGUGGAACCGCUCCAUCUCACAUUUGGUCUUUUCUUGCUGCCUUCUAUUUCUUCCAGAAUUAAUAUCUUUUCCAAAGAACCCUGCCUUCUCUUGACGUUCCCCAAGUAGAACAUUUUCAAUUUUGUCAUUUUUGCCACCAGUGAUGUUUCAUGCUUAAUUUGCUGUAGGACCUGCUUGUCUUUCUGGCCAUUUAAGGCACCUGUAGACCUCUAACACUAUCUUUAAAAUGAAUCAGUUGCUUUUCUCACCAGCCUCCUUCACUGUCCAACUUCUGCAUCUGUACUAGUAAUGGAAACUGUGAAGGUGUGGAUGAUCCUAGGCGUGGUCUCUGAUAGCACAUCUUUGUUCUCAGUGAUCAAUCCCUAAUUCUUCCACUGCUCUUCAGUCUCAGCGUUCUCUUGACUUCUCAGCCGCAGUCUCCAUGUGAAUGACUGAGCCAAGAUAAGCAAAAUCCCUAACAUUUCAAAAUCAUCAUUUUCUCACAUUUCAAGGCUGUAUAUUUCUGUAGUCUUGAUUUUUAUCUUCUUGAUGUUCAAAUGCAGUCCUGUUUUGGCACCUUCUUCUUUCACUUUCGUCAGAAUUUUCAAGUUGUUGCUACUUUCUGCCAGUAACAUGCUGUCAUCUGCAUAUAUUAUUUAUAUUUCUUCCACCAAUUUUCAUGUCUCCUUCCUCUGAGUCUAGCCUAAUAUUUUAUAUAUGUUCUACAUACAGAUUAAACAGAGAGAGAAAAUGCACCCUUCCCUGACACCUUUGCCUGUAGGAAAUUGUUCUGUCUUUCUAUAUCCUGUCCUGACAGUGGCUUCCUGCCCAGUCGAGUGCUGAGGCAUGCCCACUUCUUUCAGUACAAUCCACAGCCUUUCCUGACCCACAGUCGAAGACUUUACUGUCGUCUAUAAAAUGUGCACCUUCUAAAAUUUUCUCAAGCGCUCCUUUUUUCAGCUCUCGUUAAAGAGAAUGAUUCAUUUUGUGUGUGCACUUGCUAUUCUUGACAUUCUGCUUUCUAGUUCCCAAGUUAAAGUUCCAGAAGUGAAAGGAGAUACACUAUCAUUUGCUGUCUAACGCUUUCACUUUAUACGAUCAUGGGCCUUUUUAAAAGGGUAGUGACAUGGCAGUGGGCACCCGUGGCUGCUGGACUUCCACGUGUGGCACACACACGUCCUCCUUGGCGUCGUCCUUGGAUGAUGGGACGUGGGGUGUUGGUGUGGACACGUUUCGGGAGUGCCCAGAACACUUCAGCACAGGCGUUACGAACAUAGUGUGGGCACACACUGGUUUAUUGGGCUUCUUUUCUAAUGGACACUUGACUGCUGCCACGGAAAGGAGAGCCAGGUCGCUAGACCUUCAGAUUUUUUAAAGAGAAAUUGGGAAUUUGAACUUUUGUGAACUAUCCCAGCUUUAAAAUCCUAGCAGCUAAUUCAGCCAUUUCUGAAACACUGAACAAAAUGAGCCUGCCAUCAGCAAGUCUCCCAUGCAUGAGUUAGAAAUGCAGAAGCCUGAUGCUGAUCCCCCCGAACCUUGGGGCUGUCUAGGGGAGGCACAACUAAUUACUGCAUAUAGGAGCACACCUGACAUUCUUUUGAUACACAAAGAAGAAAAAUUAAUGGGAUCGAGAAAAUUUUACUAAGAACCUGAGUAUCAACUCAAUGUUAGUAACACUGAUGAAAAUCUACUUUAGUCAAAAGAGGAAAUCACUAAUUGUCUGGUUAGAUUCUCUAGCCAUUCUUUGGACCUAUUUAAAAGCAGAAGGCUUGUUCCUGUACAGUCCGCAUGGGUUUUCUGCAAUCUCUCACCUUAGGAAGGCUUCCAGGUAAACUGGGCCAAGGAGAAAUGAGCAGGAACAAACUGAAUUUUAUAACUCCGAGCUCACAGUUUGCCAAGGCCUUACAAUCCUGAACCUUUCUGGGGGAAUGAUGUUUAAGGGUGGCUUUCACAAAAUGAAGUGCAGAGGAAAAGAUGCUUGGUAUAUAGACUUGGUCACAGGAUUAGAGGCAAUUCUCUGUGAACAGACCUACUACAAUUCCCAUUUUAGGGAUCAACUUCAGCCUCAACUUUGUUGGUUUGUUUCAUAAAUUACUUCAUUGUUCAAUUAUAUAGCCUCAAUUUUUUGCAAAGGGAAUUCUACAUCUCUACUGCUGUACAGGUGCUGCUAGGCCAGCUUGAGCGGUAACUUGCAGCCCAUUCUUGGCAAGCAUUUGAUUCCAGACAACAUAGUACCAUUAACAGUAUGAACCCAGUUCUCUUAAAUACUAACACUUGUUUCAACAUUUUUAUGUAAAUGAACCAAGCAGCUGACAUUGGAAAAGAUGAUUACUAGGCUUACAUAAAUCCACCACAAAGUUGACCUUGGAGCGGUACAAAGCAUACUGCACUCCAGGAUUCUCACCUCUCUCAUCAGCUUGAGCAGGUCAAGUGCUCUGACCCAGUUUCCACCUCUGUAAAACGAGAGUGCCAGACCAUCUCAACGGCUUACUUCCAGCUUCAGUAUUCUUUGGAGACUGAAUUUUUCAGGUCAGAAAAACCUUCCCAGUCAGGAUAGUGUUGUUUCCCUUUUCUGACUUUCUUUUACCAAUAUACCUGUCUGGCCAGGAUCCCAAAAAGGACGAUCCCUCCAAAAACCAUGACUCCUGGGAGCUGGAAACUAGAGUUGGUGUUUCUUAAUAUCAAUGAUUGGAUUCUGAAUGGGCAAGAAGUUAAACUGAAUCAUGAAAAAGUUUGAAGAUCUCCCCCUCAAAAUGCAGAUGCUUCAAAUUGGCUUUAGCUUCAUUCAUUAGAUAGUCUCAAGAUGGCAGCGUCAUCUUCCUCCCUCAUGUUAUUUCUCCCUAGUUACCAGGAUGAAAAGUAAGGUUUUUCUUUUACAUCUCAGAGGGCUGCUAAUGGCAGCAAUCUUAGUCUGGAAUCUCUGAACAUGUUGUAAGCGAAGCUGAAAAGGUGUUAACUAUAUUUAAUUAAUGUUGGUUCCUAGAAUAGUAGAGUUGAAUUACCAGGUUCGUUCCACUUAAAUGGCUUUUCUCUAAAUCCACCAGGGGUCCAGGUGGAGCACCUAGAACUGUGUCCUGAGCUGCACUGUGGCCACGGGGGCUGUAAUCCUAUAUGCUGCUUGCCCCUUAACAACUACUUCUUAUGAAUGCAUCGCGAAGGUGUUUUUUAAAAUAGCUCCAAAGCAGAAGUCAUAGGAACCAGUAGGGAAGAGAGUAGCAAUUGAGGAUAAAGGGACCACCAAGCUUUCCUACUUUUCCAAAAACACUUGAGUUUAAAGAUUCGAGCAAGUUAUAACCUCUUGCCCUUAAAUGUAAAAAGAAUAAAAUCCCCAUCAGCUUAUUAAAAUGGGAAAAUGUUUGUGACUCAAAACACUAGAAUGUGGUUCUAACCUUGUUCAGAUAGUGAAACAAUUGAAGAACAUGGGGCUUCUCAGAAUCCUACAAAAUAUUUACUAUAUUAAAACUGAAACAUUUUAAGCUAUAUCCCAUAUGGUAUUAGAUUGUACUCUAAAGAAGUAGCAGUAUAUGAAGUUUUUAAAAUGGCAAAUUCCUGCUAAAGCAGGGCUGCUCCCACACCCCUAUAUCCCCAGCUUAGCAGUUAAGGAUGUCUUCCCACUGCAGGACAGGGGCAGGGCAUGGAGGCUAAGGCCAUCAAGCUGCCCCAGGGGAUGAGGAGGUGCUGAGAGAGCUUCAUCUCUCCUGUUGGGCCCUGGGGUGGAUGAUCUGAUCGGGUUGCUCCUUUGCUGUAAAAAACAGGUGGUUCUCACACAAGACCACCUCUCAACUGAGUAAGCCCUGAAGUGUUCAGAACACCGUCCACUGUGAUAUCCUUGGGCAGUAGUGGUAGAAGACCAUGUUGGCAUGAGCCCACAACACAGCUAACAUUCAACCCUGUUUAGGAGAGGAAAGGGAAAUCAAAAGCUUGAGCAAAAAACAGACACUUCAGCCUGGCAAGCUAUAACUCUGAUGGACUGCAUCUCCUUUCACUUCUCCCCAGCCUCACACCCCCCCAGCAUCCACCAGGGAGCUGACCCUCUCCUGGCUUUAGAAGCCUUCCCCACCUUCCCCACCAGACAUGCACAGGGUGUGGGCAGAAAUGGGCAUCUCAGAUCUGGUGCCAGGGGAAGAGCCCAACUGGCUGGAGCUGAACCCACCUGAAGGUACUACAGACACUGGGCCAGUGUCUUUCUCCAGAGUUUGGUCACAAAGGAUGCACUCUUCCCACUUGGAGGAUGUGGGGAGAGUCAUUAGAUUCUCUCCCUUUAUCCAGGCAGCUUGCCCAGCCUCAUCCCCUCAGUGAACCCUUGGUGCCCUCAAAGAAUGUUCAUGUUCCAAUAAACCACUACCAUUUCACAUAUAUACACACAUGAAUGAGAAAAAUGGUUUAAAACCUUAUACAAUCUUAGUGAUAAUGGUCUAUCAUUAGAACACAAUUCAUAUGUGAGAGCAGAGAUCAAAAAAGUGUGCUAUAGAAUCAAGCUGCCUCUACUGAUGUAUAAAUGUUUGAGGCUUUAAUGAUAGUUCUCAUCAAGUGACAUUUCAAAUACAACUUGAAACAAACUCAAUGGACUGACAAAGCCUUUAAUAUAAACAGUCCUUGUUACUACCAGAUCACUUAUUACAAUGGAAAUGUGGGACUUGUGUAGCCAGCCAAGGUCAAUCUCAGCAGAGGUAAGCCUCAAAUAUUUGUAUUAAUCAUUUAUAUUAAUCUGAGGAAAAGGUGAGCUGCUAUAACAAGAAACCAAUCAUGUGGCUUAAACAAUAAAAACAUUGGUUCCUCUUUCAUGCAAUAGUUCAGUAACACUCCAUGUGGUCACACAGGGAUCCAGGCUCCUUCCAUCCUGUUCGCUAUCAGGGCUGGGCUGCUAUUGCUACUACUUUUGGGAAGAGAGAAGAGACAGCAUGAAAGAAGAGUAUCUACUGUCCUACAGGUCCCAGCCCAGAAGUAGCAGCACUUUCACUCAAAUUCCAUAGGAAAGAACUCAGCCUAACUUGGUCACACCUAACUGCAGGGGGAAACGCAGCAAAUACACUCCUAAUAUGGCAGUCAUAUAACUCGGUUUUGAAAGGAGAAAAUAUAUUCUGCUAACUACCUUAAUUACUAGUCCCCUCCCUUUUUUUUACCACUGAACUGGGUAACAUCGGUGUGCUGAAGAAAACUUACAGGAAGGAGGUGAUAAAUGUACUGUGCUUAACCCACAAACCGUGGUCUUGGUGUGGCAAGCAGAACGUGGGGAGCCCCAAGUGCCAGCCUCAGCAGUGCUACAGCAGUAGAGCCACGUGGGGGGCUGGGAGACCACAACACUGAAUACCGUCCACUAUGAAUAUGACCAGACCACUGUCUCCAAAGUUUUUGUCAAAAAAUGGUCAGAGUCUUGGACUUCAGGAUCUCUGGCAGGAAACUCUGAAAUGAGGCUGAAACCACUAUACAGUAUUUUGGCAGUGUAGCAGAGUCCUUUCUUCGGGGGAUCUGGCUCCCCUGUCCUUCAAGAGCUUCUGGGUCUACGACCUGGCUCAGGCCUAGGAAGUGGCUGAGGGUAUAGGAGAAAUCAACAUUUCUGGCAAGAGUAAAUACAAAAGAAAUAUUUUUAAACCUCACUGUUAAGUAGGAGAGCAGAAUAAAGUUGAAGGCAUUCAAAAUCCUUCAUAUUCUGCUCUCAGCCUACCUUUUUUUACAUUUGUCCCUGUAAUCUUCACCAACCAGCUUCAGUCCCUACACUGUCCCCUCCUCCUGAACUUCAAAUACCUCCCUUUCUCUGCUUGAAUAAAUUUUCCUCCAAGACCCAAGGGUCAAAUUUUGCUUCCUUUGUGAAGCCUCAACAAAUUUAAGUAUCUAAAACAUUCCAAAUUAUGCUAGAAACGGGGGGUCACAAAGACAACAUGGUUCCUGAGCCCUCCAGAGGUUACGAUAAAGAUGUAGGAUUUUAACCCUACACUGCUCUGAAACUCAGGCUCAUUAUCACACAAUGAGCACUACGGUGUGCCAGACCUUAUGUUUAACUGCUUUCUCAGGUGUCAAGACUCCAUAAGACACCAAAGGUAAUACUGUCUCAAUUCUCAAACUUUAUCCUGCUGAGCAGUUGAACUGAACACUAAGGAAUAAGUUUGCGGUAGAAAGGAAUAAAAAUUUACAUUUCAGCAGAACACUUCUAGCCUGUUAAAGAGAAAAUAGACAAUAUAAUUAUUUAAACCUGGUUUUAUUUCGCACUUUUAAAAUUCACAAAAAGCUUCACAAUAUAUCUGCUUUCCCCUUUUGAUCAUCAAGGCUUUAUAUAAGACAAUGAAAAUUUUAUCACAUCAGUUGGGAAUAUUCAAAAACAAUGGAUAAUUUACAAACGAAUUUUUUUAAUAAAGAACGUUUUGCAAAAUACACACUCUGGUACACAUCUGAAUUAAUCUAUCCUAAAAUUAGAUUUUAAAGCUUAAAAAAAAACACAGUUUUAACACUGACAAACCUACAAGAAUAUAAUGCUGAUGGCAAGUUAUAAACAGCUUUAAAUGCUGAAUGUAAUUUGGGGGAAGGGGUGAAGAAAAAAUGAUCUUUUGAACCUAUAUUAAAUGUAUCUGUGAGUUAAAGUUCUAUAAU
Long non-coding RNA from Phyllostomus discolor (pale spear-nosed bat), 7119 nucleotides. RefSeq lists it as uncharacterized. The record is from RefSeq and is a predicted model, not a curated record. Lineage: Eukaryota; Metazoa; Chordata; Mammalia; Chiroptera; Phyllostomidae. The transcript is spliced from 2 exons.